This is a non-coding RNA of Macaca mulatta (Rhesus monkey), 3842 nucleotides long. Lineage: Eukaryota; Metazoa; Chordata; Mammalia; Primates; Cercopithecidae. The record is from RefSeq and is a predicted model, not a curated record.
UUUACCCUGAUUUGUCCCUCUACCAAGACAAAAAGGGAAAGAAGGAGUGCAAGUUCCUGUUUCCUAGAUCACAGAAGAAAGGAACAGAGGCCCAACUACAAACCUUGGUGAAGCAUUGUGACAUCAGAAACAUCUCUCUGCCUUUAUUUUCCUGAUGACCUGUGGGUGACAGUGAGACGAACCAACAGCUAUUAAUUAUUAAGCAGAUGAUCAGGUGAUCCAUAACUUAAUUUUGAGAGAGGAAGAAGAGAGAGCUAAAGUACAUGUAGCCCAAAAAAAUCAUGUCUUGAUAAAUGGACUAUGUAUGUGACAUAGGCAAAGUUUCCAGAUACCAGGGACGAAGGUCAGAUGCUGAAAUGUAAAUAUGCCUCUAAAGGAAACAGUUUGGUGGAGAGCUUAAAGUGAAGGUCACCUGGCCGAAGCUGGUACGAUGAUGGAUUUGCAGCUGCUGUUAGAGAUGCCACUCAAGGCAGAGGAUUGGAGAAGGAAGAAUGGUCCCCUUCCCUACGUCUACAACUAUCAACACUUCAAAAUAUGGUUAAAAAAGACUCUAAUUACUUAAAAAUAGAAUAAUGUAUCUUUCCAUGGAUGGGUGUCCAUGUUUGUAUUACCUUGAGAUCAAAGUCUGACAGAGUAUAUGGGAACAUUUCUCUUUUGCCUUAUUCCAACCCCACAUUUAUUAGUCCAAAAUUAAAAUGUGUAUUAUCUUUUGACUGAUCAAUGAAAUGGGUACAAGUCAAAGACUACAAAACAUUUCAAGAAAGACUUCAGAAUAUCUUAGUACUGUACAAGCAAACAAGAUUUUGAUUUAGAUUAUUUCUUAAUACUUCCUAAAGUUAAGCAAUUUUCUGUAGAACAACUGAAUGAUUUCCUGAAGUAAAAUAUAUAUUUCUGCUGUUGUAUAAAAGCAAGACAAUUAAUUUUCUCCUUAUAUCUUCUUAUUCUUCUUAUGCUUGCAUCUAUUUAGUAUACAAAUCAAAGGGAUUAAAAAAUUGAUGUACAGACAGUCCCCAGUUUACAAUGGUUUGACUUGACUUUUUGACUUUAUGAUGGUGCAAAAACCAUACACAUUCAAUAGAAAGUGGUAAGACACUCUCCUGUGAUGCUGCAGCUCCCAGUCAGCCAUGCCGUCACGAGGGUAAUCAGCUGGUAUUCUAUAGUGUCCUGUGUUGCCAGAUGGUUUUGCCCAACUGUAGCCUAAUGUAAGGUGUCUGAGCACGUUUAAGGUAGUCUAGGCUAAGCUACAACGUUAAGUAGUUUAGGUGUAUUAAAUACGCUUUAAAGUUAUGAUAUUUUCAACUUACAGUGUUUAUGGAGAUGAAACCUUAUGUUAAGUCAAAGAGCAUCUGUAUAAGCAGGAUCAUUAUCCUUAUGUAAAUGAGAUCAAAAAAGAGAAGCAUUCACUAAGACUAUUCCUUUUAGUACUAUUUUCUUGAUAAGGAAAAAAGACAAAAAAAAAGUUGACCAAAUUUUUAAAAAUUUACAUUUUAUAUUUUUAAAGCAUAUCAAUUCUAUACAGGCCACCUAAAUAUUAGACUUUCAGAUACGUGACUUCUAACAUAUUCUGAAGGCAUUUUUAUAUGUAUGUAAAUGUGUAUAUAUAGACAUUUACAUACAUAUAUAGACAUUUCCAUACAUAUAUAUCUUUACAUCUCUGAAAAUUAAUAUUGAAAUAUGUGAGAAACAGGAUUUGUUGUGUGUGCUCGUUUUAAAAACACUGUAUAACAGUAAAAUAUUUUUCAUUGUGGAAAAUGAUUAAAUGGUAUUAUGUAGAAUUAUUUUACAGCUGAUGACAUAAGGGAUGAUUUUUUUCAAAAAAUUCUUUUACUAUUUUGAAGUGUCCUUUUAAAAGAAUGAUACUUUUUACAACAAUGAUAAAAUAAUUAUUGUAAUACAAAAUUUAAUGUCCAAAGACAUUAUCAGGAACACACGGAUUAUUGAAAAAGUAGUUUGUAAAACCUGAUGUCUAAUAUAUUAACUAAAAUAAAAUUUAUUUUUGUUAAUCUAGGUCAUAACUGCUUUUGGAAUAUCAUGAAACAUAUGAAUGACUUUAUUCCAAGUGAAAAAUCAUUCAGUAGAGUCAAACUACAGUGUUUUCCAAAGGAAUUUCCUUUUAAUGACUUGCAGAUGUUGUUAUGUUUAAUGUCAAUAAAAAAUUGAAUUCAGUUUUUAGACAUAAAAAUUUACAUGAAAUACAUCCCCCGAGUACAUUAAGUGUUUUCACAUUCAUGAAAAAGACCAUUUGGAAAAGAGUAAAAACAGAUAUUUUAAAAAGUUAUUACUAAAAAUGUUUGUUAAAUAUUGUAAUGACUUUCCUAGAGCAACCCUUAAAUUGAAAACCUAAGAAAAUACUCAAUUUUAUUUUAGAGAGAGAAAGUGUUUUUAGGAUUGAGAAAGAAAUUACUUCUUAAUAUUUUGAAAUCCUGUACAGGUUAAGCAUUCCUAAUCCAAAAAUUUGAAAUCUGAAAUGCUUCAGAAUCCAAAACUUUUGAGUGCCAAUUUGAUUCCACAAGUGGAAAAUAAUACAGUUGACCUCACAUGACGGGUUGCAAUCAAAACACAGGCACACAACAGACUGGUGAUCAUGAUAACAGUGAUGAUGAAGAUGACUGACAUUGUUAACGCUGCAGAAAAAGUACCUAUAGACGGCGUGGUGAAAAGGUGUGAUGGGCUUAUUGAAGGACUAGGGCAGCAUGCAUUCAUCACAGAACAAGAAAUCACAUAAGUUAUAAAAUCAAAGAAAGAAUUCUAAGACAAAGAAUGAAAAAUUUUAAAAAAAGUUAUUAAUGAAGCAGAGGACAUUCUGGAAGAAACAUUUUAAAAAGUCAUCCAAUAGGAUGCUUCUUCAUCUUUAGAGGAACCACUUUCUGGUGUUCCUCUAAAGGAACCAGAAGUAUAGUAAUCUUCUAAUCUAAACAGAAGAUUGCAGGUAGAGACUGAAAGUCUGACAUUGCUUGUGGAUGUUGUUGUUAGUUGAUACUGUCAUUCUGGUGAUGACACAGUGCUGUUUGGUUACCUCCAACACAUUAUUUUUUCACUGUAUCAGUGGUGUGUCCUCUUUUUUACAGUUAAAUACUUUUGUGUGAAUAAGUGUGAGAAAAUGAUUGCUUAUUAAUAGCAUAUAAAUUCAGAGUCAGGAGUGAUGGUAAUGCCAGAAGAAAACCCUCAGAUUAUCCACGAGAGGCUGAGAUAGUGACACUUUUGCUUCCUGAAGAUGCAAUUCUUGACUUGUGAUGAAAUCAGUUCCCCAAUUUAUACUGCAUUCGUGGAAACUGGGUCUCGGGCAGCAUCUCAGCAAUUCCUUCCAACCUAAAGUUCUCUCAUCUGCUGGUAACCAGUCCAUUCCUAUUGGUGUUCAAGCAAUCACAAACACAUCCUACUUUUGAGAAAUGUUCCAGAGGAGGAGUCAAAGUGGCUGUAAUCUUGAUCCAGUUUUAUGGGCAAUAGAAUUAUUUUACUGAUUCCUGGAAUCAUGGCUCCUAUGCAUCUGCUCUCUAUGAGCACUUUGGAAAUUAAAGGAUUGCCAGCUUUUCCACUUUGGGACAAAAAACAUUUGUGCUAAACAGCCGACUUUGAACUAACCUUAUUCUCCAACGUCAGUCAAAAUAAUUUUCUCAAUUAAGGUCUGUCAACUAAACACGCAAAAAAUGACCUUCAUGGGAUAGUCCUCAGGAAAAGCUAAUAAAUGAUUGCAAAAUGAGGCAAGGAAAAGCACUUGAGAUGGGGUCCUCACUCUGUCACACAGCCUAUAGUGUAGUGGAAUGAUCAAGGUCACUGCAGCCUCAAAUUCCUGGGCUAAGUGAUCCUCAUGCCUCAGCCUCUCAAGUAGCUAGGACUACAGG